RNAcentral lists this ribosomal RNA (253 nucleotides) under uncultured bacterium. RNAcentral's name for it is "partial 16S ribosomal RNA". It matches the Rfam family "Bacterial small subunit ribosomal RNA", at positions 524 to 776 of the family's 1533-position model. The record is from RNAcentral.
UACGGGGGGUGCGAGCGUUGUCCGGAAUCAUUGGGCGUAAAGGGCGCGUAGGUGGCCCCUCAAGCGUGCGGUGAAAGUCAGGGGCUCAACCCCUGAUCGGCUGUGCGAACUGGGGAGCUUGAGCACUGUAGAGGCAGGCGGAAUUCCUGGUGUAGCGGUGAAAUGCGUAGAUAUCAGGAGGAACACCGGUGGUGUAAACGGCUUUCUGGACCAUAACUGACGCUGAGGCACGAAAGCGUGGGUAGCAAACAGG